Molecule: long non-coding RNA, 502 nt
Organism: Arachis duranensis
Lineage: Eukaryota; Viridiplantae; Streptophyta; Magnoliopsida; Fabales; Fabaceae
Exons: 2
Source: RefSeq, a predicted model, not a curated record
GGAGAAAGAGAAGGAAUGACAUGACGGGAGAGGAGAAGGGGGACCUCCGCCACUGCAACAAUCGCCGGCGAGUUGCACGCCACCGUGGAGUCACCAUUUUGUCAUCGUUCAGCUGCUGUCAUUAUUUCUCGAUUUGACGAACAUCCUCCUUGCUCUAAUUUCAGUUUUUCCAAUUUCUGAAACCUUCAUUGUUAAUUUAUCUCCGGGACACUCAUAAUUGACGCGGUUGUCGCUGUUGUUGUUGCCAUGAAGGAGUUGAGGCUACUACCGCUGCUCUGGCUACAUUGAGGGUUGCUGCCGCUAUUGAAAAUUAAGGAUAAAAAAAGGAGAUUAUUGCGGUUAAUUCCUACGGGUUUAACAAAUCAAGGUGGCAGGUUUAUUUUAAAAUUAAGAGUUUUUAACUUAAGAAUGCCAAAUAACCUACUGAAUAUUUACAAGUAGUUUAUAAAUGCUUUGUAAAACUAAUUAAUGAGAAUUGAUGAAGCUGUAAAUUGUUACUGAA